CCAAUAGCGUAUAUUAAAGUUGUUGCAGUUAAAAAGCUCGUAGUUGAAUUUCGGGGUUUAUCCGUUGGUCGGGCUUUUUGGUCUGUACUGGCGUGAUGGAUUCCUACCUUCUGAAUAACCAGCAUGUCAUUAAUUUGGUGCGUUGGGGAAGCAGGACUGUUACCUUGAAAAAAUUAGAGUGCUUAAAGCAGGCUAUUGCCUGAAUACAUUAGCAUGGAAUAAUGAAAUAGGACGCAUGGUUCUAUUUUGUUGGUUUCUAGGAUCACCGUAAUGAUUAAUAGGGAUAGUUGGGGACAUUAGUAUUCAAUUGUCAGACGUGAAAUUCUUGGAUUUAUUGAAGGCUAACUUCUGCGAAAGCAUUUGCCAAGGAUGUUUUCAUUAAUCAAGAACGAAAGUUAGGGGACCGAAGACGAUCAGAUACCGUCGUAGUCUUAACCAUAAACUAUGCCGACUAGGGAUCGGACGAUGUUAAUUUUUUAAUGACUCGUUCGGCGCCUUACG
RNAcentral lists this ribosomal RNA (501 nucleotides) under uncultured Glomeromycotina. Its description in RNAcentral is "partial small subunit ribosomal RNA". It matches the Rfam family "Eukaryotic small subunit ribosomal RNA", at positions 591 to 1092 of the family's 1831-position model. Lineage: Eukaryota; Fungi; Glomeromycota. The record is from RNAcentral.